This 608-nucleotide ribosomal RNA is filed under the name uncultured bacterium. Its description in RNAcentral is "bacterial SSU rRNA". The stretch from base 1 to 521 matches the Rfam family "Bacterial small subunit ribosomal RNA", at positions 338 to 873 of the family's 1533-position model. The record is from RNAcentral.
CCUACGGGAGGCAGCAGUGGGGAAUCUUGCGCAAUGGGCGAAAGCCUGACGCAGCAACGCCGCGUGCGGGAAGAAGGCUUUCGGGCUGUAAACCGCUUUCAGCAGGAACGAAAAUGACGGUACCUGCAGAAGAAGGAGCGGCCAACUAUGUGCCAGCAGCCGCGGUGAUACAUAGGCUUCAAGCGUUGUCCGGAUUUAUUGGGCGUAAAGAGUUCGUAGGCGGUCGAGUAAGUCGGGUGUGAAAAUUCUGGGCUCAACCCAGAGACGCCACCCGAUACUGCUUGACUUGAGUUCGAUAGGGGAGUGGGGAAUUCCUAGUGUAGCGGUGAAAUGCGCAGAUAUUAGGAGGAACACCGGUGGCGAAGGCGCCACUCUGGAUCGAUACUGACGCUGAGGAACGAAAGCAUGGGUAGCAAACAGGAUUAGAUACCCUGGUAGUCCAUGCCGUAAACGGUGGGCACUAGGUGUGGGUUUCUAUUAACGAAAUCCGCGCCGUCGCUAACGCAUUAAGUGCCCCCGCCGUCGGGAGGUACGGUCGCGAGAACUAAACUACAAUAGAAGUUAGACGGCGUGAGACGUGCCGAACGGACGACGACGAGGGAGGUAGG